RNAcentral lists this transfer RNA (73 nucleotides) under Chloroflexota bacterium. RNAcentral's name for it is "tRNA-Arg". It matches the Rfam family "tRNA". Rfam says of the family: Transfer RNA (tRNA) molecules are approximately 80 nucleotides in length. Their secondary structure includes four short double-helical elements and three loops (D, anti-codon, and T loops). Further hydrogen bonds mediate the characteristic L-shaped molecular structure. tRNAs have two regions of fundamental functional importance: the anti-codon, which is responsible for specific mRNA codon recognition, and the 3' end, to which the tRNAs corresponding amino acid is attached (by aminoacyl-tRNA synthetases). tRNAs cope with the degeneracy of the genetic code in two manners: having more than one tRNA (with a specific anti-codon) for a particular amino acid; and 'wobble' base-pairing, i.e. permitting non-standard base-pairing at the 3rd anti-codon position. The record is from RNAcentral. Lineage: Bacteria; Bacillati; Chloroflexota.
GGCCCUAUAGCUCAGUGGAUAGAGCGAGCGCGUCCUAAGUGCUGCGUCGGCGGUUCGAGUCCGUCUAGGGCCG